Molecule: long non-coding RNA, 15054 nt
Filed under: Gossypium raimondii (Peruvian cotton)
Lineage: Eukaryota; Viridiplantae; Streptophyta; Magnoliopsida; Malvales; Malvaceae
Description: long non-coding RNA (GRAI_LNC008901)
Source: RNAcentral
AGAAAACCCUAGCAGCAAGGGUCCCUAGCGCCGCAGCAGAUGCCCCCUCGCCUUCCCGCACGUGCCAAGCCUCGACCCUCGCACAUGCGCCAUCGUCUCCGUACCUCCACGUCCGCACACCUGCCCUCCGUACCUGCAAGAGACGCACAAACAAGCAGAAAGAAGACACAAACGAUACAAAAAAGAAGGAGAGAGAGAGAAAGAAACAAAAAAAGGGAGAACGGGGGCGAUUUUUAUUUUCAUUUUCUUCUGUAAAAUAGAGACUAUAAAAGAGACGGAGAGAUUUGAAAGAGGGGGGUAUUAAGAACACAGAGAUAUUUUUGUAUACAAAAUACUAAAAAUAUUGAGAGGAAUCAAAAUAAAAAAAAAAGAUUUGAAAAAGGUGAUUUGUUUUUCUUUGAUGCUUUUCCUUUCUUCUUUUCUUUUUCAUUUCCUGUUCUUUUUACAUGUGAAACCAUGAGAUGAGAGUAGGAAGGGAAGAAAGUACCUGGUGACCGCAUCCUCUCUCCCUCCGUCAUCAUCGGAGUCGAGGGGGAAUCGAAUGGUCUGGGAAAUCGAUUCGUCGAACGGCGCAUCCCCUUUUGUUUUCAGUUUUUGUUUUAGAAGGAAUAGGAUUUUUAGGUUUUUUUUUUUAUGUCUGUUUAGGUUAACUGGUGGUUUAAAGAGGGAUUAAAAAAGGGAGUCAAUAAACGUCGCCGUAUUGCCUGAUUCAGUGGCUCUCAGACGGCGUUGUUUUAGUGCGCGACCCGAUGACCCGACCCAGACGCGGUUAGACCCGCGCGUUCUGGCAUAGGGAGGGAUAUUUGCGCGACCUGCCCUUCCCUUUUCUGUUUUCUUUUAAAUCAAGUCCCUUUUCCUUUUUUGAUUUAGCCCUCAUAUUCUGCUUUCGUUCCAUUUCGGCCCGGCUUGCAACACUGCGUUUUGGGGAAGCGGGAUAUUUCCCAAUCAGGCCCCCAUGUAAUACGCGCCUUGCAGCCUGGUCCUCCUAUUUUUCUUUAAUUUUAUUUUUUUUUUUGUUGAUUCGAUGCUGUUUGCAAUUUAAUCCUUGUGAUCGUUAGUUUUUUUUUUUAUAUUUAAGAAAUUUGUUAUUUUAUUAUCAUACUUAUUUUUUAUUAUUGUUUUAUUAUAUUUUUAUACAUUUGUUUUAUACGAAGCUAGUUUCUAAGAUAGUAUGGUAUAUGUGCGUAUGUAAUAUUAUUAUUAUUAUUAUUAUUAUUAUUAUUAUUAUUAUUCUUAUAAUUCCUUUUUUAGUAUAUGUGUAUAUAAUUAUAUUAUUAUUUUCAAAUGAUAGUUUUAUGCACGAAAACCUUGUUUUUUUUUAGAUUCGUCGUUCUAUCUUAUUUAUUUAACUCUUAUAUAUCAUUACUAUUAUUUUAAAUUACUAUUUAAAUUUAGCACAUACUGUUACAAAGUUUUUCUGUGUGUUUUGUAUGCAUCACCUAUUUAAACUAGCACAUGUAUAUAUUUUGAGCUUUUUUUAUUUCAUGAAAUAUUUAUUUGAAAAUUUGCUUGUAUAUUAUUAUUUCACAUAGUAGUUAUUUCGAACCUUUUGAUGCAUUUCAUUGUUCAUUUUAUUUACUUGAAAAUUUGUUGCAUUUUAUUUAUGUUGUUUCGCUUAGAUCUUGUUCCAAAAUCGACGAUUAACUCAUCUAGUUGUUAAAUGUUGAUAUUUGUGUUCGUAUGGUGCGUGUUGGAUAUUAUUGCCCGCAUUUGUAUUACGUCAUUUAUUAUUGUUUGCUGUUUAUUGAUGAUUACUUGGUAUACACUUUAGCUCAUUAAUCAUAGUUUCGUGUUGUAUAUUAACAUCCCGUCGUUCUAAUCUAAAAUAUUUAGUUUCACUAAAGCGUUAAAACCCUUUUUUUUUUAAAGUUUUCAAAACAACACAACCCUCGACAUUUGGAAUUCUCGAGAAAAUGGGGGUCCUAACGCAUUGGGUUCCAAUUUUUUCUCGUUGAAUCUAAAUGAUCGAAAAUUUUCUACAAUUAAGAAACGUAAAUAAAAACUCAUUCUCGAAAUUUGACACUACGUGUCCUAAUGCAUUGGAUGCGACAUGUCAUUUUCUCGAAAGGAGGUAUUUUUUUAAAUAAUAAGGGUUGUGUUCAAUGCUAGAAAUCUUGAGGAAUCGUGCUCUAACGUAUUGAGUUUCGACUUUUCACCUGACUUCAAGUAAUUGAAUAUCCCUUUUUAACUUCAAAAAUUUUGAAAAGCAAAGACAAGCUCUUUCUCGAGGACCAAAAAUGUCGUGUCCUAAUGCAUUGGGUAUGGCAUUUUCUUACUUUGAGAUGAGAUGGUCUUUAGCAUUCCUAUCGAUUUAUCCAAGCAUCUUUUGCAAAAUGAAUAAAAAUAAUAAGGAUUGUGUUUUAAAAUCUUUUCAAAAUCUCAAUAUUAAGACAUUAAACACUCAAUUCGGUACCAAUUUUGGGCGCCACGAGAGUGCUAACCCUUCCUCGAGCGUAACCGGCUCCCGAACCUAUUUUCUCAAAUUUUGCAGACCAAAAUUAUUUUCAAGGUGAUCCGAUCACACCUCAAUAUAAGAUCGGUGGCGACUCCCAAACUUUCAUUUUUAAUAAGUCGAUAACUAAAAUUUUGAUUUUUCAAAAAGUGGUUUCGACAGCUUGGCGACUCCACUGGGGACCCAUUUAGAGAGUCAAGCCAUAAAAUUGAUUUUUUCUUGUCUUAUUAUCGAAAAUUGAAAAUUUGAUUUGGAAAAAUUAUGAUCCUCUCUUUGCAUUUGUUUGUAUAAUUGUUGUUUUAUACUUUGGCAUCAUAUUGCAUAAGACUGUUAGUCUUGCCCUCUUAAGUGGGAGUGAGAAACUAGUCCUUCGUGAGGUUUUCACCUCCGUGCAGGAUAGUGGAUCGCUUCCGAGAUACAUCCAUACCUAUGUCUUCGUGAGAUUUUCAUCUUCGUGCAGCCAUAGGGAAAUGUGUUCCCCUGAACAAAACUCGGUCCGUAUGAGCCUAUAAUGGGUGAGGAUCGAGGAAUCUGCUGGUUCGGGUACCUCAACUCUAGAACCAAACUGCAUAUAGAAAACCCUAAGAGCCUACCUUUGAUUAUAUUGCAGAAACCCUAGCGGUUACCCAUAUAGGUGUUUAAUGCCUUUUACUUGCUCGAAGUUGAGUUUCUAUGUUGUGCUAACGCGUAGUUUUUUUUUCUUUGAUCGCAUGUCAUUUCAUAUACAAAAAAGUGUCGAUUCAGGUUCGAUUACUAAAUUAAAAAUCUUGGCAUGGAGAACAGAUUUCUUGAUAAAGUAGAGGACAAUGCUGCUGUCCGUGUGUGGUUAGAGAAAGCACAAUCAGAGAAAGGAGAUAGUCUAGCAGAGGGGUAUACGUCGGAGUUAUGGGAUUACACCCGUAUCAGUGUGACGCAAAAUAGCCUUCAGGAAUUAAAGGUAAUAAGGGAUCAUUGGAAUGACGAAACUAAGCAGUUGUUGAACUCUAGUUACGGGGAUUUGCCGUAUCUACUCGACAUUAAGGUAGAUGAGUAUUUGUUUUGGGCUUUCGUUUAGUAUUGGAACCCUGCAUAUAGUUGCUUUACCUUUGGAAGGGUUGAUUUAGUACCCACUAUAGAAGAGUAUACAGCUUUGCUUCAUUGCCCAAAGAUCCAGGUUGAUAAAGUCUACUCUAGAGCCGUUAAUGUCCCAACCUUUGUGAAGAAGUUGAUGAACAUCACCGGAAUGGGGGAGCAGUGGGUCACGACACGGAUCAAGCAGAAGGGGGAAAGCAGAUGCAUCCAUUGGAAAAGCCUGCAAGAGCUGGUUUUGGUACACCCUGAUACAAGAAAAAGGGUCGACGUUUUUGCUCUAGGCAUUUAUGGGCUAGUAAUUUUUCCUAAGGCACUAGGGCACGUAGAUGAAGCCGCCUCAGACCUCUUUGAUCGACUUGAAAAGAUGGUUACACCAGUCCCAGCCAUUCUAGCAGAAACCUUCAGGUCACUAAAUGCUUGUAGAAGGACAGGUGAAGGCAGAUUCAUCGGAUGUGCGCAGCUUCUUCUUGCAUGUUUCCACAACCAUUUUUGGAAGGUUGAUAAGGUUUCGUAUCGAGUCUUCUCCAGAAACUAUUCUCCAUUAAGAGAGAUAGCAACUACACCAAGGAGAGAUGAUAUCUCAGAAGAGAAAUGGUUGGCCAUUCUUCAAAAUCUUUAAGAGGAGGACGUUGAGUGGAGGGCCCCGUGGUUGCUUCCGGAUGAAAUCUUGUAUCAAUAUGGUAAUUUUGAUUGGAUCCUAUUACUUGGAAUUUGGGGAGCUGUUGGUUAUGCUCCAUUGAUGGUGCUAAGGCAGUAUAGGUCAAGGUAGUUUAUACCUGCAACCCAAGGCCUAGCUGAGUUUGAAUUCUCAUAUAAAGACGAUGGAUAUAAAAAGAAGAUCCCAGAGGUAAACAGGGCAUGGGACCAAACUCGACGGAUGAAGAGAUUAGCCGUAGGCCCAACCACGACUCAUGAAUAUAAUGAAUGGUGGGUUAGAAGGAUCAAUGAUAACAUUUCAAAGUCAGGUCAAGGAGAUAGUCAAUCGAUAGAGGAACAUUUGCGGGUUGUUCCCUCCGAAUUGGAAAUUAUGAAACAAGAUUUUGAAAAGAGGAAUGCAGAGCUUGAAAAGAAGAUUGAGCAGUUGGAAGAAGAAAAGAUGCACUUGGGAUUAGAUGUGGAUGUUCAAAAGUUAGAGACUGAGAAAUUAAGAAAAGGUAAGAACAAUGCUGAGGAGGAUCUGGACAGUUUGAAGACAAACUAUAAGAAGUUGAGGUUGUCAAUAAGAACUGCUGGGUUAGGGAAAACUUCAGAGCAAUGGCGUCAAGAGAUUCGGGAAGAAAAGGUCAAGGCUGAUGGAUAGGAAAAGAAAUUUCGAGAGGUCCAAACGCAAAAUGGAGCUUUAGAAAAGAGUUUAUCAAAAAAUCGAAAGGAAAAAUGUGAACUAAAAGACAGGGUGACUGAGUUAGAAAGAUCUCUUCAUCAGUAUCAAAGUUGAAAUUCGGCAAUGGAGUUGAGGGCGAGCUUGAGUAAGAUCGAAGAAAUGAAAGGAAGAAUAGAGGAGUUGGAAUCGGCAUUGCGAAGUUGCGAGAUCCAAACUGAGUACUUGGAAGCCAACAAAAGUUGUCAGAGUGAGCAGCUUUAUCAUCUUCAGAGUCAAGUUGAAAAUAGAGAUCGUAUCAUGGGAGAAGCCGUGGUUCAAAUCCGGGAGGUAGCUGAUCACCUACAGACUUUGGCGGUACAAGUCGAUUCACUGAGCAUAAAAUAUGAGCUGGAAUCAAGUCGGGGACAGGAAUUAGCCUCAUUACUUAGGAAAAUUAAAGUUCUGAGCAUUAGGGCAAGAGCAUAUAUGUAACCUGUUUUAUGUAAAUAAUUUUGUUUUCUAGUAAAGAUUCCUAAAUGAAAUUGAAUCAGAAUCGACGCCUUUUUGCAUUCAUGCAUUGCAUUACAUUGCAUCAUAUGCAUUAAAGUCCACCAAAAGACUCUAAUUGGUUAAAAUCAUUACAGUUAACCUGGAAACCGACAAAGGCUCACCAAUUAAGCAUCAAUACGGUACUCGACGGAAAACUAAGGAAAUGGACCAAAGAUUAGGGAAAUUGGAGCAAAUGCAAAUGGAUAUGCAAGAACGCUUGCAAGCACAAAUGCAAGAACGACUAGAUAAAAUUCAAGAAGACAUGAUAGAAAAAAUGAUUAAAGCUCAAAAAGAUGCCAUGGCUGAAUUGACCCAUCUAUUGACGGGAGGAGUAGAUAAAGGAAAGGGCCCUAUGGCCGAUCAUGGAGAGGGUAGUGAGGAUCCAUUAUAUCCUUUAGGUUUCACUCCACCAAAUGUAUGAACCCAAACUAAAAUGUACCCGAGAGAACAGUCUGUCACAAUUAGGCCGCAACAAUUACAAACUGGUGCCACAAUUUUUUAAGGACGAUCGAGUUUAAACCCGGCAGAAAACCCAAUCAAUCAUACUGUUCCAGAUUUAGAUGAAACAGAUGAAGGAGGAAGAACAAGCGCAGAAUUGCCAAAACAAUGGGAAGAUAGGUAUAGAUGGUUGGAGGAAAAAUUCAAAGCCUUGGAAAGCGCUGAUAGUAAUCAAGGAAUCGAAGCUAAAGAUCUAAGCUUAGUCCCAGAUUUAGUACUGCCUCCCAAAUUCAAGAUGCCUGAAUUUGAGAAAUAUAAUGGAACUAGUUGCCCCGAGGCCCACAUCACUAUGUUCUGUAGAAGGAUGACUGGCUUCGUUAAUAAUGAUCAGUUGUUAAUCCACUAUUUCCAGGACAGUUUGGUAGGGGCAGCAUCUAAAUAGUACAAUCAAUUGAGUCGUACCAAAAUUGGUUCGUGGAGGGACCUAGCACAGGCAUUCAUGAAGUAGUAUAACCAUGUAACGGAUAUGACCCUCGAUAGAAUUACGUUACAAAAUAUGGAGAAGAAACCAAGUGAGAGUUUCAGGCAGUACACACAAAGAUGGAGGGAAGUUGCUAUUCAAGUCCAACCACCGCUCCUAGAAAGAGAGACCACAAUGCUCUUUAUCAAUACCUUAAAAGCCCCGUUCAUCACGCACAUACUGGGAAGUGCAACCAAAAGUUUUUCAGAUAUAGUAAUGAAUAGCGAAAUGAUUGAAAAUGCCAUAAGAAACGGGAAAAUGAAGCAGGAGAGAGUAACAAAAGGUCAGCCUCGAGAAGAAAGGAAAAUAAAGUAAACAACGUAAAUGCCUACAACAAGUCAGUUACAGUGAAUCAGCCAAGAAAGGUGGCUACUAGUCAACAAGCUUCAGCAAGACAAGAAUCUGGCGCAAGACAGGGUACUGAGAAGCCCUAGUUCACAUCAAUUCCAAUGUCAUACAAGGAGCUGUAUCAGAAGUUGCUCAAUGCACAAGUUGUCUCCCCCUUUUACUUAAGCCCUUUGCAACCCCCGUAUCCCAAAUGGUAUGAUAUGAAUGCGCAAUGUGAUUACCAUGCGGGAAUUACAGGGCAUUCAAUAGAAAAUUACACGGCUUUCAAGAAGGUAGUUGAGAGACUCAUCAGCAUGGGUGUUGUCAAAUUUGAUGACUCACCUAACGCAGAAAAUUCGUUGCCUAAUCAUGCUGAUAAGGGGGUGAAUAUGAUGAGUGAAAGCAGAGGAGAAAAAUUCAAGAGCGACAUUGCUGAAGUAAAAACCCCGUUGAAAUGGGUUUGGAGAGAGAUGGCGAAGAGGGGACUAGUUAUUUCAGGUUCUGAAGAAAGGUAUGAGGCUGAAGGCUAUUGUGAGUUCCACCGUGAGGUAGGACAUGAGAUUCAGGAAUGUGAGGGUUUUAAGGCUGUGGUCCAAAGCAUGAUGGAUAAUAAAGAGAUGAGGUUUUAUGAAGAAGUAGAGGAAAAAAGAAAUAUUUGAGCAUCAGAGUUGGCAAUGAAGACUACGGAAACGAAUCAUCCUGUGGUCAUCAUUUUAUGCGCUCGGAGCAAUGAGUUUAGAGUCCAGAUGACACCAAAAAUUGUAAUAUAGAAACCAUCAAAUUUCCCAUACAAGGAUAACAAAAUGGUCCCGUAGAAUUAUGGAUGUAACGUGACAAUUUUGGGAAAAGAAGCAGAAAGAAAUCAGGAAAUACGUUCUUAUACACGCAAUGGGAAGUGAUAUGACACUCAGGUAGAAUCGUCAAGAGAAGAGAAUGGGAAAAAAAGAGCAGAUGAAAGGGAAGGCAGUGGAAGUUGAACCAUUGGUUAAUGAGCCAAUAAAAGAGGAGGAGGCAAAGGAAUUUUUUAAGUUUUUGAAACACAGCGAAUACAGCAUUGUGGAAAAAUUACGCAAACAGUCGGCCCGCAUUUCUAUAUUGGCUUUACUUUUAAGUUCAGAAGAACAUCGAAAUGCGCUAUUGAAAGUACUAAAUGAAACAUAUGUGGCGGAUGAUAUUUCGGUGAACAAGCUGGAUCGGUUGGUCAACAAUAUAAGUGCUGACAAUUUUAUUUUCUUCAGUGAUGACGAAAUACCAUCUGGAGGGAGGGGUUCUACUAAAGCCCUGCACGUUACUGCCCGAUGCAAAGGGUACACACUCCCGGGGGUCCUGGUUGAUAAUGGAUCUGCACUGAACGUAUUACCUUUAUCUACUCUUAGUUGGUUAUCGGUGGAUAGUUCGCACAUGAAAGUGUGCCAGAGCAUAGUAAGGGCAUUUGAUGGAACGAAAAAGAGGGUUAUAGGGAGAAUCGAAGUACCAUUAAGGAUAGGUCCAAUUACUUAUGAGGUGGAAUUUUUGGUGAUGGAUAUUAAGCCUUCCUACAACUGUUUGUUAGGAAGACCUUGGAUACACUCAGCAGGGGCAGUACCUUCAUCGCUACUCCAGAAAGUGAAGAUAGUGUUAGAGGGUCGGGUGAUAACAAUAAAUGCGGAGGAAGAUAUCAUCGCAACAGUAACUAGUGAUGCACCUUAUGUGGAGAUUGAUGAGGAGACAAUAGAAUGCUCUUUUCAGUCAUUAGAAUUCGUGAACGCGAUGUUUAUUGCUGAAGGAAGUAGAAUUCUGGUACCAAAAAUAUCCAGGACCACGGAGAUGGGGCUGCGAUUGAUGAUUGGAAGAGGAGCUUCACCCGGGAAAGUAUUAGGAAAAUACCUUCAAGGAAAAAUUGAAGCACCUAUACUAAAGGAAAAGUUUGAUAGUUAUGGCUUAGGAUACAAGCCAGACAUGAAGCAGAAGAACAAAGAAGUAGAGAAAAGACAAGGGAGAAGAAGGGCACGGUUGAGCGGGAAAGAGGUUAAGUGGGAGCCUAUGUCCUUUCCCUACAUAUUUACAUCUUUUGUAUCGGGUGGAUUUAUUCAUCCUGAGCGUGGGGUGUCCAGAAGUGAAGACAUUGAAGAGAUGUUGGAAAAUGUUCAUGUCAAUUCUAUAGAAACAUCUGGGAAAAGAGCCUUGUUGGAGAUCUGUCCUUACGAACCUGGAAGCGAGCUAAACAACUGGACUGCGGAAGAAAUCCCUGUAGUCUUUAGGGCUUAUUCAGAGUAAUGCUCAGAACAUUCUUGUUGUUUUAGCCUGGAAAUGAUAGGAGAUCCUUUGUGAAAAAGGCUUGAGCCUGAACAUAGUUAUUCUAAUGAAAUACAUCUUUACAUUCAUUUCGAGCAAUUAUUCUUUUUCUUUUAUACAAAUAAGCACUUUCUAAUUGAUUAUCCUGCAAAUAAUUCCUUCAUUUAUAACCUUAUUGUACAAAUAAUUAUUCAUAAAUUUAUAUUUUCUUGGUAUAUUCUUUGAUAUGCCCUCAUAGGUCCUUAGAUAUCAACGACAUGAAUGACGCUGUUUCAAACACAGAGCUUUUUGAGCAAGACAUGUGUUUAGAGGGAUCUCACGAAUUUGAAGAUGACGAAGACCGUGGUAUAUCUCCAGACUUGUCGAGAAUGGUAGAACAAUAGGAUGAGCAGAUCCUACCUUAUAGGGAAUCAUUAGAAAUCGUGAGCCUAGAGGAGGGAAAGGAUGUGAAAAUUGGAACUGAAAUCGCCGCAAAGACAAAGCAAGACCUCACUGAAUUGCUUCGAGAAUUCAAAGAUGUUUUCGCUUGGUCAUACCAGAAUAUGCCCAGACUAAGUACUAGCGUCGUGGUACAUCGUUUUCCCAUAAAAGAGGAUUAUAAACCAGUUCAGCAGAAGCUCAGGAGGAUGAGACCUGAUGUGGUGCUAAAAAUAAAAGAAGAGGUCAAAAGACAGUUCAAUGCUGGGUUCUUACAGGAGAUCAAAUAUUCAGAUUGGGUAGCUAACAUCGUCCCCGUUCCCAAGAAGGAUAGAAAUGUAUGAAUGUGCGUGGAUUACAGAGACUUGAAUAAGGCUAGUCCUAAGGACAAUUUCCCGUUGCCUCACAUUGAUACUUUGGUAGAUAAUACGGCAGGCUACUCAUUAUUCUCUUUCAUGGAUGGCUUUUCUGGAUAUAAUCAAAUAAAGAUGCAUCCUGAAGAUAUGGGAAAAACAACAUUCAUUACUUUAUGGGGAACAUUUUGUUACAAAGUAAUGCCUUUCGGAUUGAAGAAUGCGGGAGCAAUAUAUCAAAGGGCUAUGGUGACCUUGUUUCAUGACAUAAUGCAUAAGGAGGUCGAAGUCUAUGUUGAUGAUAUGAUUGCAAAAUCUAGAACUGAAGAAGAGCAUGUUCAAGUCUUGAAAAGAUUAUUUUUGAGAUUGAGGAUAUUUCAGCUCAAGCUUAAUCCUGCAAAAUGUACGUUUGGAGCCAGAUCAGGGAAGUUGUUAGGCUUCAUAGUUAGUAAGAAGGGGAUUGAGGUGGACCCGGACAAAGUGAAGGCAAUCCGAGACCUGCCUCCUCCGCGCACUAAAAAAGAAGUCUGAAGUUUCCUAGGAAGAUUGAAUUACAUUGCUCGAUUCAUUUCACAAUUGACUGAGAAAUGUGAUCCAGUAUUCCGUCUUUUAAAGAAGCAUAAUCCGAGUGAUUGGGAUGAGGAAUGUCAGCAAACUUUUGACAAGGUAAAGCAAUAUUUGGCUAAUACCCCCGUACUAUCACCGCCAAGUCCUAAUAGGCCAUUGAUAUUGUAUCUAACGGUGUUUGAGAAUUCCAUGGGAUGUGUAUUGGGCCAACACGAUGAAACAGGAAAGAAAGAAAGGGCAAUAUAUUAUCUCAGCAAGAAAUUCACUGGCUGUGAAAUGAGAUACUCGUCAAUUGAGAAAUUGUGUUGUGCUUUAAUCUGGGCAACACGAAGACUAAGGCAGUAUAUGUUGUAUCAUACGACUUGGCUGAUUUGGAAGUUGGAUCCUUUAAAAUAUAUGAUGGAAUCAACUGUUCCAAACGGGAAAAUGGCUAGAUGGCAGAUCCUGCUCUCUGAAUUUGACAUAGUAUACGUAAGUCAGAAGGCCAUAAAGGGGAGUGCAAUAGCUGAUUUCCUGGCUAGUAGAGCCUUGGAGGAUUAUGAGCCUUUAAACUUUGAUUUUCCAAAUGAGGAUUUGAUGUAUGUGGCAAGCACUGAAGAAAAUCCCCAAAGAGAUCACGAGUAGAGGUUAAAUUUUGACGAAGCUUCGAAUGCUAUAAGUAAUGGAAUUGGGGCAGUCUUGGUAUCGCCAAGUGGAGAUCAUUACCCUGUGGCUAGUUGGACUUUGAUUGCACAAAUAAUAUGGCAAAAUAUGAAGCAUGUAUUAUGGGCAUUCGUGCAGCCAUCGAACGGAACAUCAAAGUACUAAGAGUAUAUGGGGACUCCCCAUUGGUGAUAUACCAACUCAAAGGGGAAUGGGAAACUAAAGACCCUAAGUUAGUUAGUUAUAGAAGGCUGGUCCUCGAGUUGGUUGAUGAGUUUGACGAUAUCACCUUCAGUUAUCUCCCACGAGAGGAAAACCAAAUGGCUGAUGCAUUGGUUACUCUAGCUUCGAUGAUUUAGGUGAACAGGCUUGAAGUAAUGAGGCCUAUUUAGAUGAGUAUCUAUGAAACCCCAACUCAUUGCUACAGUAUUGAGGAUGAGGGAAAAGACGAUCACCCUUGGUAUCAGAGUAUCCUACAGUAUGUGAAGAAUCGAUAGUACCCUAGUCAAGUAACGGAGAACGACAAGAGAACUCUGAGAAGAUUAGCCAUCGAAUAUGUCUUAGAUGGGGAAGUGCUAUACAAAAGAAGGAAAGAUCAAGUACUAUUAAGAUGUGUGGAUGCCGUGGAAGCUAAGAAAAUUUUGGAGGAAGUCCAUGAGGGUAUCUGUGGGACGCACGCCAACGGUUUCACCAUGGCCAGACAGGUCAUGAGAUCUGGAUACUAUUGGUACACUAUGGAAAGGGAUUGCAUUGAUUACGCCAAGAAAUGCCAUAAGUGUCAAAUUUAUGGAGACAAGAUGCAUACACCCCCUUCGCCACUUCACGUUAUAACCUCUCCAUUGCCGUUCUCCAUGUGGGGUAUGGAUGUCAUUGGGCCGAUAUCACUGAUGGCUUCUAAUGGGCAUUGUUUCAUCUUCGUAGUCAUUGAUUAUUUCACCAAGUGGGUAGAAGUCGCUUCAUACGCAAACGUCACGAAGUCAGCAGUCAGUAAAUUCUUGAAAAAAGAGAUCAUUUGUCGAUAUGGAAUGCCUGAGAGAAUCAUAUCCGACAAUGCGCUAAAUUUGAACAAUAUCACAAUAGUUGAGGUUUGUAGCCAAUUUAAGAUUAAACAUCAUAACUCUUCGCCGUAUCGUCCAAAAAUGAAUGGUGCAGUGGAGGUGGCCAAUAAGAAUAUUAAAAGAAUUGUGGGGAAAAUGACUGAAACUUACAAAGAUUGGCAUGAGAAGUUAUCAUUUGCUCUCAUUGCCUAUCGAACAUCUGUUAGAACUUCUACCGGGGCAAUACCUUUUUCUCUAGUUUAUGGAAUGGAGGCAGUAUUACCCAUUGAAGUUGAGAUCCCCUCUCUACGGGUAUUAUCUGAACUCCAGUUGGACGAAGCUGAGUGGGUCCAAUCUCGCUAUGAUCAGUUGAACCUAAUAGAGGAGAAGCGGUUAAGAGCCAUUCACCAUGGGCAAAUGUACCAGAAACGAAUGAUGCGAGCCUAUGAUAAAAAGGUUCGACCCAGAGAAUUUUGCGAAGGAGACUUGGUGCUAAAAAAGAUCCUUCCUAUGCAAAAGGACUUUAGAGGAAAAUGGAUGCCAAAUUGGGAGGGUCCUUAUGUUGUAAAGAAGGCCUUUUCUGGUGGAGCUUUGAUUCUAAGUGAGAUGGAUGGUAAAAUUUUGCCAAACCCCGUAAACGCAGAUUCUGUCGAAAAAUACUUCACUUGAAAGAAGAGGACCAAAGUGAAAACCCGCAAAGGGCGCUUUGCUUUCUAAAAAAAAAGAUUUGGAGAGGCCAAGGUGAAAACCCGCAAAGGGCACCUUGAGAUCAAAGGGGAUUUGAGUUGAAAACCCAAAAAGGGCGGCUCAAAUAUUGGUCAGAGAGGGGCAUGAGAAGAUUGGAACAGUUCAAAUUUUGAUCGGGGCACACGAUGAUCUUGCUAUACCUGGACCAACAAGAAAGGGCAUACAACAUCUUUGAGUAUCGACAGAGUACUGCAGAUCUCCUAAACACAUGCUAAACUCAGAAUAGUCUUCAGAAGUUUUGUACAGAGAAAUUCAAGCUGUGAUAACUGGGGCACCUAGUUCUUAUUGUGUUGAGUGUGUUAAUACCUUUUUUUCUUUCUUAUUAAUAUGCACAUUCUCAAUCAACUUCUUUGUUAUUCUUCUUUAGCUAUUGUUGAUAUUUUAUCUCUUUCGAGCUAUGCUCAGAACCAACAUCUAUCCAUAAUCAUAAUCUUUCAGCAAACCUGUUGCAUUGGAAUAAUGAUUAAUGGACUACUAAAACUUUCACAAAACAAGUUUUGCACAUUACUUUGAAAAAUUUCUAAAUAAUACAGUAAUCUGAAACAGGACUAUUGUUUAGAAUGAACCAGGUUUAAAGGUCAGAAAUCUAAGAAAAAGUCUAAUUUUAAACAAUCCCUUCAGAUUUCGUUGACAGAAGCGUCAAUUGAACGAAGUGUCAACAAUAAUCAUGAGUUAGACAAGAGAGAUCUCCUUGGAGGAAAACUCUUCGUGCACAAGCAUUUGAUAUAGCAUUUCGAGAGUGGUACAAAAACCAAGAUUUACACGUUUGAUAUCCUUCAAAUGGCAAUGGGAAAGAGUUGAAAAGCCAGAUCUCCUCAUUUUUGAGUCACAUAUAGAGAAUGAAGAUACAACUUUUGCAUCCUGGAGGAUUAAACUUGAAAGUUUACAGUGGGGGAAAUUUAGUCAAGUGCUUUAUUAAAGGUACCAGCCGAGAAGGAAUGUGUUAAAGCACGGUCGUCACAAAAGCCUUAAUAGAUUUUGAGUAAUACAGCAGCAUCUUGCAUUCAUGCAAACAUCAUUCACAUGUCUAGUUAGAAGCAUUUGUUUCAUUUUGAUCAAACCAUCUUAAGCUUUAGGCAUAAUUAAGUUUAUCAAAGGGUUAUGUUCCCUAGAGAACAAAUCAGCGAGUAAGCAGGUCUUAUUCCCCUGAAGUUAUAGUGGGACAAAUCGAAGAUGGCGGAUCUUAUCUCUCUGAAGUUUUAGUAGAGUGGAUCACAUCGAGUCUUAUCCCUCUGAAGUCACAGUGGGGCAGACUGAAGAAGCAAAUCUUAUCUCCCUGAGGUUGCAGUGGAGCAUAUUGAAGUCAAUAAUACUAUCUCCCUGAGGUUGUAGUGGGGAGCAUUAAAGUAAUAGAUCUUAUCUCUCUGAAGUUGCAGUAGAGCAGAUCGCAUCAAGUCUUGCCUACUAGAGAUAGCAAAUUUUGUUCUUUCAAAGUUACAAAUCCUAUCUCCCCGACGUUGCGGUGGAGUGGAUCGAAGCACCAGUUCUUACACCUCUGAAGAUGCAGUAGGAUGGAAUGGAGCCACUUGAAGAAGAAGAGCACCGAGGUCCAAGCACGACCGGGCAAAAUUAUUUCUCUUUAGUCUUUGCUCUAUUCUCGUUACACGACAACGAGCAAAGAGGGGCAACUGUAAUAGCCCAUUUUUGCCCGGGCCCGUAAUAAAUAAACCAAAUUAAAUAAAUCCAAAAGUCCAAAAUACAGAAAUAUUAACCCAAUAAAAAUCUAACCCAAUACAUACAGCCCGGAUACCUCUAACCCAAACCCAAUUAAGCCCAAACCUAAUCUGACCCAAUACGGCAGACCCAAUUCCUAAAACAAUGGCCCAAUUGCUAUGUGGCCCAACGACGCAAAAUCAGAAAACCCUAGCAGCAAGGGUCCCUAGAGCCGCAGCAGAUGCCCCCUCGCCUUCCCGCACAUGCCAAGCCUCGACCCUCACACAUACGCCAUCGUCUCCGUACCUCCACGUCUACACGCCUGCCCUCCGUACCUGCAAGAGACGCACAAACAAGCAAAAAGCAGACACAAACGAUACAAAAAAGAAGGAGAGAGAGAGAGAAACAAAAAAAUGGAGAACGGGGGCAAUUUUUAUUUUCAUUUUCUUCUGUAAAAUAGAGACUAUAAAAUAGACGGAGAGAUUUGAAAGAGGGGGUAUUAAGAACACAGAGAUAUUUUUGUAUACAAAAUACCAAAAAUAUUGAGAGGAAUCGAAAUAAAAAAAAAGAUUUGAAAAAGGUGAUUUGUUUUUCUUUGAUGCUUUUCCUUUCUUCUUUUCUUUUUCAUUUCCUGUUCUUUUUACAUGUGAAACCAUGAGAUGAGAGUAGGAAGGGAAGAAAGUACCUGGUGACCACAUCCUCUCUCC